UCGGGAAUUUUGGGCAAUGGGGGAAACCCUGAUGCAGCAACGCCGCGUGAGUGAUGACGGCCUUCGGGUUGUAAAGCUCUGUCUUCAGGGACGAUAAUGACGGUACCUGAGGAGGAAGCCACGGCUAACUACGUGCCAGCAGCCGCGGUAAUACGUAGGUGGCAAGCGUUGUCCGGAUUUACUGGGCGUAAAGGGAGCGUAGGCGGACUUUUAAGUGAGAUGUGAAAUACCCGGGCUCAACCUGGGUGCUGCAUUUCAAACUGGAAGUCUAGAGUGCAGGAGAGGAGAGUGGAAUUCCUAGUGUAGCGGUGAAAUGCGUAGAGAUUAGGAAGAACACCAGUGGCGAAGGCGACUCUCUGGACUGUAACUGACGCUGAGGCUCGAAAGCGUGGGGAGCAAACA
Molecule: ribosomal RNA, 402 nt
Filed under: uncultured bacterium
Lineage: Bacteria
Description: bacterial SSU rRNA
Rfam family: Bacterial small subunit ribosomal RNA
Source: RNAcentral